UUUGAGACGAUGUCUUAUUUUUAUUUAAUAAAAUAUCUUAAAAAGUUCAGUCUUUUAGAAAAAAAUGAAAAUUGAUAAUGAAGAUAUGAUAUGGUAAAUGGAACGUGUAUGCUUUCUCAAUUUAGUGGCGAUCAAUAACGAGGAUUCAUUAUGAAAGGUCCAUUUCUGACCGUCCAAGAAGGAGAUGGCGUAGAUGGGUGUUACCGUAUAAAUAUAGCUCGGAGUAUUACUCGAGUAUUACAUCACCAUAGAUAUUGAAAUACGCGAAAUGUUUUGUAUAUUAAAUUCCAUCAAGAAUCAGCACCACGCCAAGAAUUGCAAUCUGCAUAUAGAGCUGCAUUAAUCUG
RNAcentral lists this long non-coding RNA (347 nucleotides) under Pogonomyrmex barbatus (red harvester ant). Its description in RNAcentral is "uncharacterized LOC105427716, transcript variant X2". Lineage: Eukaryota; Metazoa; Arthropoda; Insecta; Hymenoptera; Formicidae. The record is from RNAcentral.